AAGGGCUCCCACAAAGAUUUAUUAAGUUACUAUACUCCUCGAAGGACCUAGCAUAAUGGAGAGACAGAGCAUGAACAGGGGAGGGUCAGAGAGAGGGAGUCACAGAAUCUGAAAUAGGCUCCAGGCUCCGAGCUGUCAGCACAGAGCCCGAUGCGGGGCUCGAGCUCACGGACCGCGAGAUCAGGACCUGAACUGAAGUCGGCCGCUUAACCGACUGAGCCGCCCAGGCGCCAAAGGACGGUUUUCUUUAAAAUGAUGGUGGGAUCUCAUAUGGCCAUGUUCAAGAUCAGUGACGUUUUCAGAAAAGAGUAAGAAUUGAUGCAACUGCAGUGGGAAGCCUGGAGCAAAGCCUGAGGGUCAAGUUUGACAGAGCUCAGGACUGCUCUGGAUGCAUGACAGACCUUGGCUUCACCAGACCCCAAGCAUGACCUCAUUUUCUCAUAAAUAGGGAAAUGCCUCUUUAGCAAGGAGCUUACAGUCUUCUAUGUAAAAUAAAAAUUGUCCUUCUUGGAUAUAUUCCUGCUGGAGUCCUGAAAAGCUGGAAUUCGUUUCGAACACCAUAUAUAAGUUGUUUGAAGAUAUUGUUUCAAAGAGAUGCCUCAGGAACCACUUAAGAAGAAUACUCAGCUUCAGAUCCGUUCUGUAACGUUGGCACACACCAAGGAAAAGCACAGUCCAGAAGCUAUGCGUUUCUUUUUUCUGGACCACUCAUCUUUUUGGUAUGCUGGCACAAUUGUUUGCAAGCUCUCAUCAUCAUGGGGAAGUCAUCUAUUAAGAACCAUCUGCUGAAGAGAAUUCCAGUCCCUAAUAUUACAUCGCUGCUGGAGCUGUCCAUGUUCUUCCCCACUGCCCACCACUACCUUUCUCACAUUGCUUCUUUGUGCAUGGAGAACAAACAAAUGUACGGGAUUUGUUUUACUUAAGACUUAGCGUGGUGGAGCUAAAAGUAUAGUUCACUGCCUCUCAAACGUCAACGUGCAGAGGAGUCACCUGAGACUCUUAUUAAAAUGCAGAUUUGGGGCGCCUGGGUGGCUCAGUUGGUUAAGCCUCUGACUUCAGCUCAGGUCAUGAUCUCAUGGGUUUUGGAUUCCAGCCUUGAGUCGGGCUCUGUGCUGACAGCUCAGAGCCUGGAGCCUGCUUCAGAUUCCGUCUCCUUCUCUCUCUGCCCUUUCCCCUGUUUGUGCUCUAUCUCUCUGGUUUUUCAACUUCCACUCUGUUGACAUUUUGGGCUGAAUAAUUCUUUAUUGUGAAGGAAUGUUUUAUGCAUGACACGAUGUUUAGCAAUAUCCCUGGCUUCUACUGACUUCUACUGUAGUGUUCUCUCUCUCUAGUCGUGACAGUGAGAAUUAUCUUCCAACAUCGCCAAAUAUCCUUUGGGGAUAAAAUCACCCCAAGUUGAGAACCACUAGGGUAGGGGUUAUCAUGAAGGAUUCUGGAUUAGAAUGCUUGGAUUCAAAUUCUGGCUUACUUACUGUAUGAGUGGCCAUAGGCAAUUUAUAUAAUUUUUCUGAGCCUUAGUUUUCUCCUCUAUAAAAUGGGGAUAAUAAUAGUAUGUACCUUAGAUAUUCAUAGUGUCAGGAUAACAACACAGGAGGUUUCUGAAUUUUCCUCCUCCCACUGACACACCAAAUAUACAGCUACACAUGAAGCAACUUCUUCUGAGAGAAAUCCAAAAACCAGCUGAAUCACUCCUACACAUCAGACAACUGGGGAAAGACCCACAUUGAAAUAGGAAAGGCUGGGGCGCCUGGGUGGCUUGGUCGGUUAAGCGUCCGAAUUCAGCUCAGGUCAUGAUCUCACGGUCCAUGAGUUCGAGCCCCACGUCGGGCUCUGUGCUGACAGCUCAGAGCCUGGAGCCUGUUUCGGAUUCUGUGUCUUCCUCUCUCUCUGCUCCUCCCCUGUUCAUGCUCUGUCUCUCUCUGUCUCAAAAAUAAAUAAAUGUUAAAAAAUUAAAAAAAAAAAAAGAAAUAGGAAAGGCUGAGACAUGCCAUAAACCUCACCCCCAGCACAACACCAUACAGUUGGGAGGCAACCCCCAACUCCUAUCUUCUCCUUGAGGUAUAAAAGGCUUGGACUAUACAUUUAGUGCCCCAACUUUUAAGGCUGCUGCUUAAGGGACAGGCCCUCAUAUUAGGUCCCCUAGCUCUGAAAGCCAGUGGAGUUUGUGUCCACAAGUCCCACGAGACUACAGCAAACAAGGAAAACCCUAAAAAUCAGUUGCAUUUCUGUAUACUAAUAACAAAUUAGUAGAAAGAGAAAUUAAGAAAAUAAUCCCAUUUUCUAUGCCAUCAAAAAAAAUAAAAUACAAAGGGAAAAAUGUAAUCACGAGGGUGAAACAUCUCUACAUGGAAAACCAUAAAACAUCGUUGAAAUAAAUUGAAGAAGCCAAAAAUAAAUGGAAAGAUAUUCUGUGUUCAUGGACUGGAAGAAUUAACAUUGUUAAAAUGUUCAUACAUUUAAAGAUUCAGUGCAACCCCUAUUAAAACUCAAAAUGGCUUUUUCACCAAAAUAGACAAAAACAAUCUGAAAUUCAUACACAACCACAAAAGACCCCAAAUUGCCAAAAUAAUAAGAAACAACAAAGCUGAAGGCAUCAUACUUCUUGAUUUCAAACUAUAUUACAAAACAAUAGCAAUCAAAACAGUGUAGUGUUGUCAUAAAAACAGACACAUGGGUCAGUGGAACAGAAUAGAGAGCACAGAAAUAAACCCCCGUGUAUAUGGUUAAUUAAUUUAUGACAAAGGAGUCAAGACUAUGCAAUAGGGAAAGGAUAGUCAUCAAUUAACAGUGUUGCAAAAAUUGGUUAUUCACAUGAAAAAGAAUGAAAUUGUCCCCUGUCUUACACCAUGCACAAAAAAUCUAAUUAAAAUGUAUUAAAUACAUGAACAUAAGAUCUGAAAAGGUAAAUGUCCUAGAAGAAAACAUAGAAGGUAAGCUGCUUGACAUUGGUAUUGGCAAUGAUUUUUUUGGAAAACAAGUGGGACUAAAUCAAAUUAAAAAGCUUCUGCACAGCAAAGAAAACCAUUAACAAAACGAAAAGUCAACCUGUGAAAUGGGAGAAAAUAUUUGCAAAUCACAUACCUGAUAUGGUAUUAACAUCCAAAAUACAUGAAAUCUCAUACAGCUCAAUAGCAAAUUCCCUCACAAAUAACCCAAUUUAAAAAAGGGCAAAGGACCUGCAUAAACAUUUUCCCAUAGAAGACAUACAAAUAGCCAAGAGGUAUAGGGAAAGGUGUUUGACAUUGCUAAUUAUCAGGUACAUGCAAAUCAAAACCAUGAUGAGGGGUGUUUAGGUGGCUCAGUCAGUCUUGAUUUCAGCUCAGGUCAUGAUCUCAUGGUUGGUGGGUUCUAGCCCUGAGUUGGGCUCUGCGCUGAUAGUGUGGAGCCUGCUUGAGAGUUUCUCCUUCUCUCUCUCUCUCUCUCUCUCUGUACCCCUCCCCUGCUCACAUGCGCUCUCUCUCCAAAUAAAUAAAUAAACAUUAAAAAAACCCC
This is a long non-coding RNA of Acinonyx jubatus (cheetah), 3492 nucleotides long. RefSeq lists it as uncharacterized. NCBI's taxonomy places the organism in Eukaryota, Metazoa, Chordata, Mammalia, Carnivora, Felidae. The record is from RefSeq and is a predicted model, not a curated record. The transcript has 4 exons.